CCUACGGGAGGCAGCAGUGGGGAAUAUUGCACAAUGGGGGAAACCCUGAUGCAGCGACGCCGCGUGAGUGAAGAAGUAUCUCGGUACGUAAAGCUCUAUCAGCCGGGAAGAAAAUGACGGUACCUGACUAAGAAGCCCCGGCUAACUACGUGCCAGCAGCCGCGGUAAUACGUAGGGGGCAAGCGUUAUCCGGAUUUACUGGGUGUAAAGGGAGCGUAGACGGCAGCACAAGUCUGGAGUGAAAUACCGGGGCUUAACCACGGAACUGCUUUGGAAACUGGGCGGCUGGAGUGCAGGAGGGGUAAGCGGAAUUCCUAGUGUAGCGGUGAAAUGCGUAGAUAUGAGGAGGAACACCGGUGGCGAAGGCGGCUUACUGGACUGUAACUGACGUUGAGGCUCGAAAGCGUGGGGAGCAAACAGGAUUAGAGACCCCGGUAGUC
RNAcentral lists this ribosomal RNA (440 nucleotides) under uncultured bacterium. Its description in RNAcentral is "partial 16S ribosomal RNA". It matches the Rfam family "Bacterial small subunit ribosomal RNA", at positions 338 to 795 of the family's 1533-position model. The record is from RNAcentral.